This 512-nucleotide ribosomal RNA is filed under the name uncultured Candida. Its description in RNAcentral is "eukaryotic LSU rRNA". It matches the Rfam family "Eukaryotic large subunit ribosomal RNA", at positions 62 to 665 of the family's 3401-position model. Lineage: Eukaryota; Fungi; Ascomycota; Saccharomycetes; Saccharomycetales. The record is from RNAcentral.
AAACCAACAGGGAUUGCCUCAGUAACGGCGAGUGAAGCGGCAAAAAGCUCAAAUUUGAAAUCCCCCCGGGGAAUUGUAAUUUGAAGAUUGUGUUUUGGAAACGACCGUGUCUAUGUUCCUUGGAACAGGACGUCACAGAGGGUGAGAAUCCCGUGCGGCACGGCCACCGUUUCCUUAUAAAACACUCUCGACGAGUCGAGUUGUUUGGGAAUGCAGCUCAAAGUGGGUGGUAAAUUCCAUCUAAAGCUAAAUACAGGCGAGAGACCGAUAGCGAACAAGUACAGUGAUGGAAAGAUGAAAAGCACUUUGAAAAGAGAGUGAAACAGUACGUGAAAUUGUUGAAAGGGAAGGGCAUGCCGUCAGAUUGUCAGUGUGGGUAAGAAGCGGGGUACAAAGACUGUGGAACGUGGCCCUCGGGUGUUAUAGCCACAGUUCAUCCCCCGUCUCUUUCCGAGGCCUGCUUUGAGGACACCGACGUAAUGACGGUACGCCGCCCGUCUUGAAACCACGGA